AUAUCAUGAUCUGUUCAUUGAAUCAAAUUUUUCUUAAACCUUUCCCAUGCCUCAUGUAGAGGCUCACUACUCACUUAAUGAAAGUUGGUUAUUUUAUCUCUUAAUUG
Molecule: non-coding RNA, 107 nt
Organism: Capsicum annuum
Lineage: Eukaryota; Viridiplantae; Streptophyta; Magnoliopsida; Solanales; Solanaceae
Source: Rfam